This 413-nucleotide ribosomal RNA is filed under the name uncultured bacterium. RNAcentral's name for it is "bacterial SSU rRNA". It matches the Rfam family "Bacterial small subunit ribosomal RNA", at positions 505 to 916 of the family's 1533-position model. The record is from RNAcentral.
GUGCCAGCAGCCGCGGUAAGACGAGGGAUCCUAGCGUUGUUCGGAAUCAUUGGGCGUAAAGCGGGUGUAGGUGGCUUGGUAAGUCGGGUGUGAAAGCCCAGGGCUCAACCCUGGAAGUGCAUUCGAUACUGCGAAGCUUGAGUGUUGGAGAGGUUAUCGGAAUACCUGGUGUAGUGGUGAAAUACGUAGAUAUCAGGUGGAACACCGGAGGCGAAGGCGGGUAACUGGCCAAACACUGACACUGAGACCCGAAAGUGUGGGGAUCAAACAGGAUUAGAUACCCUGGUAGUCCACACCGUAAACGAUGGAUACUUGCUGUUGGAGGUAUUGACCCCUUCAGUGGCGAAGCUAACGCGUUAAGUAUCCCGCCUGGGGAGUACGGUCGCAAGAUUAAAACUUAAAUAAAUUGGCGG